UCGCAAACUCGCGAGAGUAAGCUAAUCUCUUAAAGCCGUUCUCAGUUCGGACUGUAGGCUGCAACUCGCCUACACGAAGUCGGAAUCGCUAGUAAUCGCGGAUCAGCAUGCCGCGGUGAAUACGUUCCCGGGCCUUGUACACACCGCCCGUCACACCAUGAGAGUUUGUAACACCCAAAGCCGGUGGGGUAACCUUUUGGAGCCAGCCGUCUAAGGUGGGACAGAUGAUUAGGGUGAAGUCGUAACAAGGUAUC
Molecule: ribosomal RNA, 254 nt
Filed under: uncultured bacterium
Lineage: Bacteria
Description: partial 16S ribosomal RNA
Rfam family: Bacterial small subunit ribosomal RNA
Source: RNAcentral